Molecule: ribosomal RNA, 459 nt
Filed under: uncultured bacterium
Lineage: Bacteria
Description: partial 16S ribosomal RNA
Rfam family: Bacterial small subunit ribosomal RNA
Source: RNAcentral
CCUACGGGAGGCAGCAGUGAGGAAUAUUGGUCAAUGGUCGGGAGACUGAACCAGCCAAGCCGCGUGAGGGAAGAAGGUACUGUGUAUCGUAAACCUCUUUUGUCAGGGAACAAAGGCGCGGACGUGUCCGCGGAUGAGUGUACCUGAAGAAAAAGCAUCGGCUAACUCCGUGCCAGCAGCCGCGGUAAUACGGAGGAUGCGAGCGUUAUCCGGAUUUAUUGGGUUUAAAGGGUGCGUAGGCGGUCUGUAAAGUCAGCGGUAAAAGCCUGGGGCUCAACCCCGGCCAGCCGUUGAAACUGGCAGUCUCGAGUUGGAGAGAAGUAUGCGGAAUGCGCGGUGUAGCGGUGAAAUGCAUAGAUAUCGCGCAGAACUCCGAUUGCGAAGGCAGCAUGCCGGCUCCACACUGACGCUGAGGCACGAAAGCGUGGGUAUCGAACAGGAUUAGAUACCCCAGUAGUC